This 450-nucleotide ribosomal RNA is filed under the name uncultured bacterium. Its description in RNAcentral is "bacterial SSU rRNA". It matches the Rfam family "Bacterial small subunit ribosomal RNA", at positions 354 to 796 of the family's 1533-position model. The record is from RNAcentral.
GUGGGGAAUCUUGCGCAAUGGGCGAAAGCCUGACGCAGCGACGCCGCGUGAGUGAUGAAGGCCCUCGGGUUGUAAAGCUCUGUGGAGGGGGACGAAUAAGUCGUGGCCAACAUCCACGAUGAUGACGGUACCCCUUUAGCAAGCACCGGCUAACUCUGUGCCAGCAGCCGCGGUAAGACAGAGGGUGCAAACGUUGUUCGGAAUUACUGGGCGUAAAGCGCGUGUAGGCUGCCCCGAAAGUCAGGUGUGAAAGCCCUGGGCUCAACCCAGGAAGUGCACUUGAAACUUCGGUGGCUUGAGUUCUGGAGAGGAUGGCGGAAUUCUCGGUGUAGAGGUGAAAUUCGUAGAUAUCGAGAGGAACACCGGUGGCGAAGGCGGCUAUCUGGACAGUGACUGACGCUGAGACGCGAAAGCGUGGGGAGCAAACAGGAUUAGAAACCCCAGUAGUCC